This 208-nucleotide long non-coding RNA is filed under the name Homo sapiens (human). Its description in RNAcentral is "HSALNT0047345". The record is from RNAcentral. Lineage: Eukaryota; Metazoa; Chordata; Mammalia; Primates; Hominidae.
CUUCCGGCUCAGCCUGGCACAACUCGGCCUGCCGCCCGGCCAGCCGCCGUGCCUUCCUGCAGAUGCUGGGACUAGAGACGGGAGAAUCACGAGGAGUAUGGAGGCCAGGGACUUUCAGGAGGUAGAAAACUCAUCGAAGACAAUAAGCUCAUGCAUGGACAUUCAUGGAGUACGCUCAGGGUUUUUGGGAUCCACCAGACUUGAGUUU